UCUUUAAAGAUUUUCAAAUCUUUCCAAAUAUUCUCAAGAUUAUCAAAUCCUCUUUAAAGAUCACAAAUCUAUCCUAAGAUUUCCAAGAUCAAUUCAUAUCUUGCUAGAGAAAUUCUCUCUCCCCUUCACUCCAAACUUUCGACCACCACCUCUCUCUCCUCUCUCUCACAUUUCCACCAUUGACAACCAUUAACGAGACCUUGGGAGCUUCACAAAAUCACACCAAAAUCACAAAUCACCCUCUAAAUCCCACCUAAACACCUCUUAUCAACUUGAAUUCAAGAGAAUCCUUGAAGAUUGGCUUCAAGACUAGAGAGAGAAAAUUUGAUAUUUGGUGUAAGCUUGGACACGAGCAGAGCAGGGAAGUAAGUAACUCCGCUUUGACGGGAGUUUUUGAGUAAGGUCUUCAGGCUAAGCGAGGAGCGAGAUUGGUCUGGUGCUGGCGGGGAAUUGUUAGAGGAUGUAUUUACUUUAUCGUAUUUCCUUUUUGACGAUAAAGUCUUGAUAAUUGAUAUACUUGGAUUUUCUUUUGAAGUUAAGCAAUGUACUCACGGUUAUAUGUCUUCAUACAUAUAAUCGAUUCGCCUUUUGCUGCGAUACUCUGCAUAUUAUGAUUACUUACGAAAAAUGAGCGAUACCCGUUUUGUUUUU
This is a long non-coding RNA of Salvia miltiorrhiza (redroot sage), 651 nucleotides long. RefSeq lists it as uncharacterized. The record is from RefSeq and is a predicted model, not a curated record. Lineage: Eukaryota; Viridiplantae; Streptophyta; Magnoliopsida; Lamiales; Lamiaceae. The transcript is spliced from 3 exons.